This 301-nucleotide ribosomal RNA is filed under the name uncultured bacterium. RNAcentral's name for it is "partial 16S ribosomal RNA". It matches the Rfam family "Bacterial small subunit ribosomal RNA", at positions 509 to 807 of the family's 1533-position model. The record is from RNAcentral.
CAGCAGCCGCGGGAAUACAGAGGGUGCGAGCGUUAAUCGGAUUUACUGGGCGUAAAGCGUGCGUAGGCGGCUUCUUAAGUCGGAUGUGAAAUCCCUGAGCUUAACUUAGGAAUUGCAUUCGAUACUGGGAAGCUAGAGUAUGGGAGAGGAUGGUAGAAUUCCAGGUGUAGCGGUGAAAUGCGUAGAGAUCUGGAGGAAUACCGGUGGCGAAGGCGGCCCCCUGGACAAAGACUGACGCUCAGGUGCGAAAGCGUGGGGAGCAAACAGGAUUAGAUACCCCAGUAGUCCCUGUCUCUUAUAC